This 447-nucleotide ribosomal RNA is filed under the name uncultured organism. RNAcentral describes it as "partial 16S ribosomal RNA". It matches the Rfam family "Bacterial small subunit ribosomal RNA", at positions 334 to 797 of the family's 1533-position model. The record is from RNAcentral.
CACUCCUACGGGAGGCAGCAGUGGGGAAUAUUGGACAAUGGGCGCAAGCCUGAUCCAGCCAUGCCGCGUGAGUGAUGAAGGCCCUAGGGUUGUAAAGCUCUUUCACCGGAGAAGAUAAUGACGGUAUCCGGAGAAGAAGCCCCGGCUAACUUCGUGCCAGCAGCCGCGGUAAUACGAAGGGGGCUAGCGUUGUUCGGAAUUACUGGGCGUAAAGCGCACGUAGGCGGAUCGAUCAGUCAGGGGUGAAAUCCCAGGGCUCAACCCUGGAACUGCCUUUGAUACUGUCGAUCUGGAGUAUGGAAGAGGUGAGUGGAAUUCCGAGUGUAGAGGUGAAAUUCGUAGAUAUUCGGAGGAACACCAGUGGCGAAGGCGGCUCACUGGUCCAUUACUGACGCUGAGGUGCGAAAGCGUGGGGAGCAAACAGGAUUAGAAACCCUGGUAGUCCCA